CUACCAAAGGCAUAGCUGGGUAGCCAAGUCCGGAAGGGAUAAACGCUGAAGGCAUCUAAGCGUGAAGCCCCCCUCAAGAUGAGAUAUCCCGUCCUUUAAGGACAUAAGAUCCCUUAUAGAGUAUGAGGUAGAUAGGGCAAAGGUGGAAGCGUAGUAAUACGUGUAGCUGAUUGUUACUAAUCGAUCGAAGGCUUGACCA
This 199-nucleotide ribosomal RNA is filed under the name Lachnospiraceae bacterium A10. Its description in RNAcentral is "partial 23S rRNA. Bacterial LSU". It matches the Rfam family "Bacterial large subunit ribosomal RNA", at positions 2726 to 2925 of the family's 2925-position model. Lineage: Bacteria; Bacillati; Bacillota; Clostridia; Lachnospirales; Lachnospiraceae. The record is from RNAcentral.